CUAACCAGGAUUCCCUUAGUAACGGCGAGUGAAGCGGGAAGAGCCCAGCGCCGAAUCCCCCCGUCCUUGCGGCGUUCGGGGACCUGUGGCGUGUAAAGGACUGCGGUGCGGCGAUUUUUUUCUCGGUUGUCCAAGUUUUUAACACGAGGUCUUUCCCACAGCGGGUGAUAGGCCUUUAGUGGCGACCGGGGUUUCGUCCCACGCUUUCCUCAGAGUCGGGUUGCUUGAGAAUGCAGCCCCAAGGAGGGUGGUAUGCUCCAUCUAAGGCUAAAUACUGGCACGAGUCCGAUAGCGAACAAGUACCGUGAGGGAAAGUUGCAAAGAACUUUGAAGAGAGAGUUCAAUAGAGCGUGAAACCGUAGUGCAGUAAAUCGGGUGGACCUGUGCGAGAAGGUCUCGCGCAGGCGGGAACCGGGACGGCGUGCGUCGGUGGUGACGGCGCGCUUCUGGCAUGGUUUGCUCUACACGAGCGCCUGACAAUUUUUCCAGAGAAUUGGACCAUUUUAAAACCGGUCCAGCGAACCCCGGGACUCGUCGUUGCGCGAGAACGUGUGAAUCUGCGUCGCGUUCGGUUCGAGCGAGGUGAAAAGGCCCGGUUUGCGGAGGUGUGGCUUGCUGUCCCGUAGUAGGUGGGGGGUUUCUUCCUCUUGCUUCGGGGCUUCAAUUGCCAACUAACAUACGCCUGGGAGAUGGCCCCGUCUUGGACCGACGACAUAUGACCGUGCGUGCUUUUGCGUCACUCUGCCCUUGGAGAGCCCGUCAAAACGGUUUUCCUGGGGGCGGCGGCGGCAGCGCGCACACGAAACGGUGGUCACGCGACAUUUGAUCAGUGCUCUACCCGUCCCGUCUUGAAACACGGACCAAGGAGUCCGACGUGAGCGCGAGUCAUUGGGAACCACGAAACCCACAGGCGCAAUGAAAGUGUUCUUUGAGGUGUGAUCGGGUGUGUGCGGUCUCUUCGGGGGCCGCGCGCCCUGCGCAACACCGGCUGGUCCCUACGUCUCGGUCUUUCUUUUUUUAGACCGUCACGGGGCCAAGCAAGAGCGGUCACGUCGGGACCCGAAAGAUGGUGAACUAUUCCUGAGCAGGAUGAAGCCGGGGGAAACUCUGGUGGAGGUCCGCAGCGAUUCUGACGUGCAAAUCGAUCGUCAAACUUGGGUAUAGGGGCGAAAGACUAAUCGAACCAUCUAGUAGCUGGUUCCCUCCGAAGUUUCCCGUAGGAUAGCUGGCGCUCGUCUAAGUCAGUUGUAUCCGGUAAAGCGAAGGAUUAGAGUCGGCUGGGGCGGAGGCGUCCUGGCGCUAUUCUCAAACUUUAAAUGGGUACGGUGCCGCUUCUCGCUUUGCGAUGUAAAUUUAUUUGGAGAGCGGAGUAGAAUGAGAGUGCUUAGUGGGCCAUUUUUGGUAAGCAGAACUGGCGCUGUGGGAUGAACCAAACGUGCGGUUAAGGCGCCCAACGCGGCCCUGAUGAGAUACCAUAAAAGGUGUUGGUCGAUCCAGACAGCAGGGCGGUGGCCACGGAAGUCGGAACCCGCUAAGGAGUGUGUAACAACUCACCUGCCGAAUCGAGCAGCCCUGAAAAUGGAUGGCGCUGGAGGGUCGGGCCGAUACCGUACCGUCGCGGCAAAAGUCUCUUUUGAUAGCUUUCUGAACUUUUGAUGCCGCGACGAGUAGGAGGGUGCGUCGGGGUGGCGCGGAAGCUUGGGCCGUGAGGCCGAGUGGAGCCGCCGCGAGUGCAGAUCUUGGUGGUAGUAGCAAAUACUCAAACGAAACCUUUGAGGGCCGAAGUUGAGAAGGGUUCCUUGUUGAAACAGCAGUUGAUGAAGGGUGAGUCGGUCCUAAGAGACGGGAUAAUUCUUGUUAGAAAGUUGGUAAUGGGUCGGUCGUCUUGCUGAAAAUUACUUUUAUAAAACAACACUUUAAACACAACACAGAGAGCGAGCGAGCGCGCGAGAGCGAGCGAGCGAACGAGAGAGACUAGUCGUUUUGAUGGGGGUAUUUGGUACGAGGAGGAGAGAGAAAAUCGGAGGACAUUUACUACUAGAGCGACGUCGCCGCCGAGGGCAACACGUUGAACAAAACACACACGCACGACU
RNAcentral lists this ribosomal RNA (2093 nucleotides) under Lepetella sp. MCZ:Mala:378521. RNAcentral's name for it is "eukaryotic LSU rRNA". It matches the Rfam family "Eukaryotic large subunit ribosomal RNA", at positions 65 to 1726 of the family's 3401-position model. The record is from RNAcentral. Lineage: Eukaryota; Metazoa; Mollusca; Gastropoda; Lepetellida; Lepetellidae.